This 109-nucleotide non-coding RNA is filed under the name Bacillus coahuilensis. RNAcentral describes it as "TPP sequence". It matches the Rfam family "TPP riboswitch aptamer (THI element)". Rfam says of the family: Vitamin B(1) in its active form thiamin pyrophosphate (TPP) is an essential coenzyme that is synthesised by coupling of pyrimidine and thiazole moieties in bacteria. The previously detected thiamin-regulatory element, thi box was extended, resulting in a new, highly conserved RNA secondary structure, the THI element, which is widely distributed in eubacteria and also occurs in some archaea. The record is from RNAcentral. Lineage: Bacteria; Bacillati; Bacillota; Bacilli; Caryophanales; Bacillaceae. RNAcentral also lists the same sequence under 1 other name.
UUUAAAAUGUAGGGGAACCGGUGUUGCCGGGUGAGAAGAUAGACGGAAUCUAUUAACCCUUGAACCUGAUCUGGCUUAUACCAGCGUAGGAAACAUUAACGAGUAAUGA